AGUGGCGGACGGGUGAGUAACACGUAAGAAUUUGCCUUUAGGAGGGGGAUAACAACUGGAAACGGUUGCUAAUACCCCAUAUGCUUUCGAGUGAAAUGGAUUUCCGCCUAAAGAGAAGCUUGCGGCUGAUUAGCUUGUUGGUGAGGUAAUGGCUCACCAAGGCGACGAUCAGUAUCUGGUUUGAGAGGACGAUCAGACACACUGGAACUGAGACACGGUCCAGACUCCUACGGGAGGCAGCAGUGGGGAAUUUUCCGCAAUGGGCGAAAGCCUGACGGAGCAAUACCGCGUGAGGGAUGAAGGCCUAUGGGUUGUAAACCUCUUUUUUCAGGAGGAACAAAAUGACGUGUACCUGAAGAAUAAGCAUCGGCUAACUCCGUGCCAGCAGCCGCGGUAGGACGGGGGAUGCAAGUGUUAUCCGGAAUCACUGGGCGUGAAGCGUCUGUAGGUGGUUAAGUAAGUCAACUGUUAGAUCUUGAGGCUUAACCUCAAAAUCGCAGUCGAAACUGCUUGACUGGAGUAUAGUAGGGGUAAAGGGAAUUUCCAGUGGAGCGGUGAAAUGCGUAGAUAUUGGAAAGAACACCGAUGGCGAAGGCACUUUACUGGGCUAUUACUAACACUGAGAGACGAAAGCUAGGGUAGCAAAUGGGAUUAGAUACCCCAGUAGUCCUAGCUGUAAACAAUGGAUACUAGAUGUUGA
Molecule: ribosomal RNA, 700 nt
Filed under: uncultured bacterium
Lineage: Bacteria
Description: bacterial SSU rRNA
Rfam family: Bacterial small subunit ribosomal RNA
Source: RNAcentral